RNAcentral lists this unclassified non-coding RNA (253 nucleotides) under uncultured Gemmatimonadota bacterium. RNAcentral describes it as "uncultured Gemmatimonadetes bacterium contains 16S-23S intergenic spacer region". It matches the Rfam family "Bacterial small subunit ribosomal RNA", at positions 524 to 776 of the family's 1533-position model. Lineage: Bacteria; Pseudomonadati; Gemmatimonadota. The record is from RNAcentral.
GACAGAGGGUGCAAGCGUUGUUCGGAAUUACUGGGCGUAAAGCGCGCGCAGGCGGCUUUGCAAGUCGGGAGUGAAAUACCGGGGCUCAACCCCGGGGCUGCUUCCGAAACUGCAUGGCUAGGGACCGGUAGAGGCUGGUGGAAUUCCCGGUGUAGCGGUGGAAUGCGUAGAUAUCGGGAAGAACACCCGUGGCGAAGGCGGCCAGCUGGGCCGGGUCCGACGCUGAGGCGCGAAAGCGUGGGGAGCAAACAGG